GGCACUGGUGCUUAUGACAUCACCACUGCUACAGUCACCACAACGCAGGCCUCUUAUGCAGCUCAGUCUGCAUAUGGCACCCAGCCUGCCUACCCCACCUAUGGCUAGCAGCCAACAGCCACUGCACCUACCAGACCACAGGAUGGUAACAAGCCUGCUGAGACUAGUCAACUUCAAUCUAGCACAGGGGGUUAUAAUCAACCCAGCCUCGGAUAUGGACAGAGUAACUACAGUUAUCCCCAGGUACCUGGGAGCUACCCGAUGCAGCCAGUCACCGCACCUCCAUCUUAUCCUACCAGCUACUCCUCUUCACCGCCGACUAGUUACGAUCAGAGCAGUUACUCUCAGCAGAGCACCUGUGGGCAGCCGAGCAGCUAUGGACAGCAGAGUAGCUAUGGUCAACAAAUCAGCUAUGGGCAGCAGCCUCCUACUAGUUACCCCCCUCAGACUGGAUCCUACAGCCAGGCUCCAAGUCCAUAUAGCCAGCAGAGCAGCAGCUACGGGCAGCAGCGUUCAUUCCGACAGGACCACCCCACCAGUAGCAUGGGUGUUUAUGGGCAGGAGUCUGGAGGAUUUGCCGGACCAGGAGAGAACCGGAGCUUGAGUGGCCCUGAUAACGGGGGCAGGAGAAGAAGGGGCUUUGAUCGUGGAAGCAUGAGCAGAGGUGGGCGGGGAGGAGGACGCGGUGGAACGGGCAGCGCUGGAGAGCGAGGUGGACCCAUGGAUGAAGGACCAGAUCUUGAGCUAGGCCUUCCUAUAGAUCCCGAUGAAGACUCUGACAACAGUGCAAUUUAUGUGCAAGGAUUAAAUGACAAUGUGACCCUGGAUGAUCCGGCAGACUUCUUUAAGCAGUGUGGGGUUGUCAAGAUGAACAAGAGAACUGGACAACCCAUGAUCCAUAUCUACCUGGAUAAGGAGACGGGAAAGCCUAAAGGUGAUGCCACAGUGUCCUAUGAAGAUCGACCAACUGCCAAGGCUGCCAUGGAAUGGUUUGAUGGGAAAGAUUUUCAAGGAAGCAAACUUGAAGUUUCUCUUGCCCGAAAGAAGCCUCCAGUGAACAGCAUGCGGGAUGGCAUGCCACCUCGUGAGGGCAGAGGGAUGCCACCACCACUUCGUGGAGGUCCGGGUGGCCCAGGAGGUCCUGGGGGACCCAUGGGUUGCAUGGGAGGCCGGAGGAGACAGAGGCUUCCCUCCAAGAGGCCCCGAGGUUCCAGAGGAAACCCCUCUGGAAGAGGAAAUGUCCAGCACCGAGCUGGAGACUGGCAGUGUCUCCCAAUCCGGGCUGUGGAAACCAGAACUUCGCUUGGAGAACAGAAUGCAACCAGUGUAUAAGGCUUCCUCCCGCCACCCUUUCCACCUCCAGGUGGUGAUCGUGGACGAGGUGGCCCAGGUGGCAUGCGAGGAGGAAGAGGUGGACUCAUGGACCGUGGAGGUCCUGGAGGAAUGUUCAGAGGUGGCAGAGGUGAAGACAGAGGAGGCUUCCAAGGUGGCCGUGGAAUGGACUGAGGUGGCUUUGGUGGAGGAAGAUGACGUGGUCCUGGGGGGGGGCCUCCUGGACCUUUAAUGGAACAGACCGGAGGAAGAAGAGGCGGACGUGGAGGACCUGGGAAAAUGGAUAAAGGCGAGCACCAUCAGGAACACAGAGACCGGCCCUACUAGAGACCUACAGAGCUGCUUUGACGACCAGAUUUACUUUUUAAACCAGAAAAUGUUUUAAAUUUAUAAUUCCAUAUUUAUAAUGUUGGCAACAACAUUAUGAUUAUUCCUUGUCUGUACUUUAGUAUUUUCAC
Mus pahari (shrew mouse) is the source of this 1790-nucleotide RNA transcript. It is a transcript of the gene named RNA-binding protein EWS pseudogene, with no coding region annotated. Lineage: Eukaryota; Metazoa; Chordata; Mammalia; Rodentia; Muridae. The record is from RefSeq and is a predicted model, not a curated record. The transcript has a single exon.